GGAAUUGACGGGGGCCCGCACAAGCGGUGGAGCAUGUGGUUUAAUUCGAARCAACGCGAAGAACCUUACCAGGUCUUGACAUCCUCUGACAAUCCUAGAGAUAGGACGUCCCCUUCGGGGGCAGAGUGACAGGUGGUGCAUGGUUGUCGUCAGCUCGUGUCGUGAGAUGUUGGGUUAAGUCCCGCAACGAGCGCAACCCUUGAUCUUAGUUGCCAGCAUUCAGUUGGGCACUCUAAGGUGACUGCCGGUGACAAACCGGAGGAAGGUGGGGAUGACGUCAAAUCAUCAUGCCCCUUAUGACCUGGGCUACACACGUGCUACAAUGGACAGAACAAAGGGCAGCRAAACCGCGAGGUUAAGCCAAUCCCACAAAUCUGUUCUCAGUUCGGAUCGCAGUCUGCAACUCGACUGCGUGAAGCUGGAAUCGCUAGUAAUCGCGGAUCAGCAUGCCGCGGUGAAUACGUUCCCGGGCCUUGUACACACCGCCCGUCACACCACGAGAGUUUGUAACACCCGAAGUCGGUGAGGUAACCUUUAUGGAGCCAGCCGCCGAAGG
RNAcentral lists this ribosomal RNA (556 nucleotides) under Bacillus subtilis. RNAcentral describes it as "bacterial SSU rRNA". It matches the Rfam family "Bacterial small subunit ribosomal RNA", at positions 906 to 1462 of the family's 1533-position model. The record is from RNAcentral. Lineage: Bacteria; Bacillati; Bacillota; Bacilli; Caryophanales; Bacillaceae.